This 807-nucleotide ribosomal RNA is filed under the name uncultured organism. RNAcentral describes it as "SSU rRNA". It matches the Rfam family "Bacterial small subunit ribosomal RNA", at positions 28 to 805 of the family's 1533-position model. The record is from RNAcentral.
GACGAACGCUGGCGGCGUGCUUAACACAUGCAAGUCGAACGAAGAGCGAUGGAAGCUUGCUUCUAUCAAUCUUAGUGGCGAACGGGUGAGUAACGCGUAUUCAACCUGCCCUUCAGAGGGGGACAACAGCUGGAAACGACUGCUAAUACCGCAUACGAUCCAAUCUCGGCAUCGAGGAUGGAUGAAAGGUGGCCUCUAUUUAUAAGCUAUCACUGAAGGAGGGGAUUGCGUCUGAUUAGCUAGUUGGAGGGGUAACGGCCCACCAAGGCGAUGAUCAGUAGCCGGUCUGAGAGGAUGAACGGCCACAUUGGGACUGAGACACGGCCCAGACUCCUACGGGAGGCAGCAGUGGGGAAUCUUCCGCAAUGGACGAAAGUCUGACGGAGCAACGCCGCCUGAGUGAUGACGGCCUUCGGGUUGUAAAGCUCUGUUAAUCGGGACGAAAGGCCUUCUUGCGAAUAGUUAGAAGGAUUGACGGUACCGGAAUAGAAAGCCACGGCUAACUACGUGCCAGCAGCCGCGGUAAUACGUAGGUGGCAAGCGUUGUCCGGAAUUAUUGGGCGUAAAGCGCGCGCAGGCGGAUUGGUCAGUCUGUCUUAAAAGUUCGGGGCUUAACCCCGUGAUGGGAAGGAAACUGCCAAUCUAGAGUAUCGGAGAGGAAAGUGGAAUUCCUAGUGUAGCGGUGAAAUGCGUAGAUAUUAGGAAGAACACCAGUGGCGAAGGCGACUUUCUGGACGAAAACUGACGCUGAGGCGCGAAAGCCAGGGGAGCGAACGGGAUUAGAUACCCCGGUAGUCCUGGCCGUAA